ACCUGGGCACAGAAGAGGUCAAUAAAGCCACUAGAUAUUUACUCCUUACAAAGCCAGUUAGGCCCGGCUGCGCUCACUGGAGUCGCGUUACUCGAAUUCCUUAUCCACGCGAUCGUCACCAGAAAAUUCGUUACGUCAGGUAUUCAGUGAAAUCAGCAUCUAGUCCCUUCAAGAACUCUAAGAAAAUAGACCUGAUGCUUCCAGUUGUUCGGGUAAUUCCAAGAGUAAGCUUAAUCAGGAGAGAGCAUCUAACCGCAGAGAACCUGUACAGGCAAAACCAGGAAUUAUCCUCUGAUUUAGAAGAGCCUGUAAGAGAGCCCAUGUCAAACUUUGAGUGUAUCUUCGUUGCAGAUUUCAGAUGAGCGAUAGUCACACCGCAGCUCUGUGCUCGGGGCAUCACCUCGUUGCAGAACUCAGCGGAGGGACUGCAUGCGGCUCCAAGGAAUGGUCCAAAAGUUAAAGCCUUGUAGUAACAAAUUUCUCCCGCAAGUUCCAGUACACAGCAAUUGUUCUGCUGGACACGGUGUAACCAAGGCAUCCCCAGUAAUUCCGAGGGAUCAAAAUGAGUUAUGGCAGAUAUUUUCAAACACAAAGAUUCUACUUCUUUUCCUCUGACAGCAGGAAGACUAAAUUGUAGCAUCUCAUUUUCUCUAUCCCAAAGCCUCAAUCUUUGCUCUCGCUACGGAUCUAUCGG
This is a non-coding RNA of Phalacrocorax carbo (great cormorant), 694 nucleotides long. Lineage: Eukaryota; Metazoa; Chordata; Aves; Suliformes; Phalacrocoracidae. The record is from RefSeq and is a predicted model, not a curated record.